This 29-nucleotide non-coding RNA is filed under the name Rattus norvegicus (Norway rat). Lineage: Eukaryota; Metazoa; Chordata; Mammalia; Rodentia; Muridae. The record is from RNAcentral.
UCUAAUGCCCCACCCCUUUCUUUCACAGG